GUUGUGCUUUGUUAUUAUAGAAAAAGAAUGUGAUAGGGGAGUAAAGAAAAGCCAUUUCCUUCUGACAGAAGGGUGGAGAGAAGAAAGGAAGCAUGACACCAGGAUCCUGCUACAAUUCUCAAGUCUUCUUUCCAGAGAAUGUGGUCCUUGGAGAAUGCCAGCCUCACAAUACAGAAGUGGAGUUCCUGAAGGAGGGAUUUCUGAUCCACGAGAAGACUGAAGCACUGACUACAGCUUAGAGUUUCCGCCAAGGUUAAAUAAAGAAUAGAACGGCAGCUUCAAACGCACUUGGCCCCGUUAGGAGUAUGAGCACUGCAGUCCACCGAAAGCUCCUCGCUGCAGGACUCUCCAAGGUCUG
RNAcentral lists this long non-coding RNA (358 nucleotides) under Chinchilla lanigera (long-tailed chinchilla). RNAcentral's name for it is "lncRNA (ENSCLAG00000028051.1)". The record is from RNAcentral. Lineage: Eukaryota; Metazoa; Chordata; Mammalia; Rodentia; Chinchillidae.